UCCCAUUGGACCUGACCGACCUACAGUGUCUGUGGCAGACAUGUUUUUCUAAUGACCCGUCAAAAUUGGUUUCUAGUUUGUCUCCUUUACAAACUUUGUCUCUAGAUAGCUGGUGGUUACCUCAUAGUCAUAUAGUAACUACUGUCAGUCUUGCUAGUGAGAACCCUAAUAUUGUGCGUAGUGUAAGUAGGUCACCUGAAGCUCUUAGACGGCCUCUCGGUAAAAUGUCUCGAUGUUUCGCACGUCAGUGA
This 251-nucleotide non-coding RNA is filed under the name Danio rerio (zebrafish). The record is from RNAcentral. Lineage: Eukaryota; Metazoa; Chordata; Actinopteri; Cypriniformes; Danionidae.